Long non-coding RNA from Ostrea edulis (European flat oyster), 806 nucleotides. RefSeq lists it as uncharacterized. The transcript has 2 exons. The record is from RefSeq and is a predicted model, not a curated record. Lineage: Eukaryota; Metazoa; Mollusca; Bivalvia; Ostreida; Ostreidae.
GACCCCUGAAUACACCAGAUUUGGAUUAAGGUGCCUAGGAGGAGUAAGCCUCCCCUGUCGACCGGUCACACCCACCGUGAGCCCUGUAUCUUGAUCAGGUAAACGGAGAUAUCCGCAGUCCAAAUCAGUGCGCCAAGAACGCCCUAAGAAUCAGUAUGAAACAAAGUCAAACAGCUUUUGACCCAAUCAAAGUUUCUAAGCGAAUAAGAUAAAGUAUCGACAGCAUAUACGUAAAAGGUUAAUGUUUUAAUAAAAUGAAAAAUGUGAUUUGAAAAAAAAAAUACGCAAAAAAGCAAUGGUUCACAAAUUAACGUUCUGAAGUUAUUGAUGAUAAUAGCAUUAAUUCAUCUUGAAUUUAGAUCGCCUGAAGAAAGCAUUUGUAAAUGAGCAAUGUAUGGUUAUCUUGAUAGCCAAUGGGAGACCUGUACGUACAAUAUAAAUAUUUCGUAAUUCAUUGCCAUAUUUGGCAGAUAAACGUUCGUAACAUCUUCCAUUCCCACAACUACUAUUGCAAAUCCGAUUGUAGAGAUGAACACCAGAGCUUUGCUUGUCCUGGUGUGUCUGUUCUCGCUGAUGAUUGCGGACUACUCUGUUCAAGGCCUAGGUCGUUGUAAGACACGUAUUGGGUGCUCAGGAUGCGGAAUACGAUGCAGGGUCAGGGGAUUCAGGACUGGGUAUUGCAGAUAUUCGUUUUUUUGCCCAUUUAGAAGGAAGUACAGAUGCAAGUGCUCGAGAUUCGGUUGAAGUAAAACAACCUAGAACAUUAAAAAGUAGUAAAAGGGGUGAAAUAAACUGUUUAAAAUGUG